Triticum dicoccoides is the source of this 2815-nucleotide RNA transcript. RefSeq lists it as uncharacterized. NCBI's taxonomy places the organism in Eukaryota, Viridiplantae, Streptophyta, Magnoliopsida, Poales, Poaceae. The record is from RefSeq and is a predicted model, not a curated record. The transcript is spliced from 7 exons.
GCCUCCUCGCGCACUCCCGCACGCGCGCCGCGCCCUCACCUCUCUCUCCCCCUCCAAACCCUACUCCGUGUCCGCCUCCCUGCCCCGCCGCGGGCCGCCGCCGCCGCCGCCACCGCUGCUCGCCCGGGCACCCAUCCUCGGCCUCACGCUGCCCAUCUAGAGAGAUAGGGGCCGCGGGUGAUGAGGCGGACGUGCCGUCGUCCCGUCUUCUGCGAGGUCGAGGAGAGCCAAUCCCACCUUGUCGCCAUCUCCUUCAUCCAGCCGGCUGCCGCCUUGGCCGACUCCUCCUCCCCUCCCGUCCUCCUCCUGUCGCGUCUCCACCCCGUUGUCAGGCCACAUGCUGCUCCACCCUUCCUCCUCCCCUCCCAUCGUUCCCUCUAAUUCUAGGAGUGGGUGAGGAGGCUGAGCCACUGCCCGCCGCCGGCCCGCAACACCUCCUGAUCGACCACGCCGAGGAAGCACUGGACCUUCAUCCUUGCGUCUGUGCACCUCUGGAAAGGAGACGACCCGAGGAAACGCAGGUCAGCAGUGACUUGGAAUACCUGGUUCUCGCUACAGAUGGUCUUUGGGAUGUCGUGCAAAAUGAGAUUUGGAGUACGUGCAUUCAGGCUUAAAUGUGCAAAUGCACACUGCUGGAGCGCCCUUCAGCAACGAGGAGGCCCAUCGCGACACAGCCGCCGCCUGCGUCGGUUCUCCCCAGCGCGACAUGGACGCCGCCGGCGUCGGUUCUCCCCAGCACAGCCACUCUGAAGACGGAAAGGUCCACUGUAGCUGUUGUUUGUUCCGUUUGUUGAGGCUUGGUCGGCCUGCUGUCUGCUACCGUUUCAGGAGGUUGCAAGGUUUGUUCAUUUAGAUCUUUUGUUCACUGCACAAUGCUAGUGUUUGUUGUUAAAAACUGAAGCUCUUAUGGGCUGCAGCUUAUACUAGAUGAUAUGAAGGUGUGCUCCAUAGCUUUCUGUCCAGUUAUAUAGCAUCCCAUGUGUGUUCUGUAAUUAUUUUACAUUUCUUUUCAUGAUUGGUUGUCAACAGUUUGAAUAACACUACCCUAAUAAUCUGGAUAAAUGAUAGAUGGAAUAAGUACAUGUGUAGUUAGAUCUAACUACGUAUGUUAUAUCUAUAUUACCUAAACAUUUCCACCAUUUUAAAUUAGAGCUUGAAUUUUCAAGAGAACACCUCAUGUUCAACCACUUUCAUUUCCCUUCAUUCUUAGGUUCUUACUAAUGGUCGCUCGAUGGUGCUAAUUGGCUUACGUGGUUAUGUAUUAUGAAUAUUACUGUAUUAGGAAGGCUCGAUCACCAUUAUUUUAGGGAAGUUUAAUCCAUGUAUGUUUUGGCCAUGUAAUUUUAAAUUCUUAGCUGCAUGGAAGUGGUACCUUUUAGUUCUUUGUGCUGCUUACAAAACUAAUCAUCAUUGGGCUGUACAUUGACUGGCAUAACCUAAGAUGAUUUUUAGUAUUUUUCUUCUUGGUAAGCUUUCUGUUAUAUUGGCAAAAAUGUUGCUUGAAGGUUUCAAAUAUAUUACACCCAAACUAUUCCAAGAUUGCUAUUGAAAUCUUCUUUGGAAGUACUUGGAAGGAAGAUUCUUGCCCAGUUCAGCUGCUUUAAUGUUCUUGAAGGACACAUAAAAAAUUUCUGGAUGAUGCAAAUUUAUAUGAAUUACACAUGGUAGAAAGGGUUAAUGCCUGGAUAUUGUGUAGUCUUUGCUCCUUCUCUAGAAGUGGUAUAUGCUCGAAAAUUGUAUUAUCUUUUGUCCAGACUCAAAUUUUAUAUGGCUGCUGGAUCUCUGGUUGGAAUUUAUUUCCUGUGUUCAUGUCUCACUAAGUUACCGCUGUUGAAACUGAAAAAUGUAUGAAUGCAAAAAGGGUUUAUCAAAUCCAUGCUAAUUGCAGGACAUGCUUGUAUUGAAAAAGAAAUCAUCUUUUCACAUAUACAAAACUUUGUAAGGUUUGAGUGCUGGUUUUGGAACAGCUUCCGUUUCUGUUUUACUGUACUCUUCUCGGUACAGAUGAUCCUCUGAACUCUGAAGUUUCAAUUUUUGUUGCAUAUUUCUCCGUUUGCAGACCAGUUCUUUGGUUGUCCUUUUAAUCAAAACUUAUGUUGUUAUGUUUGGAGGCGAGUCUGCAUUGGUCUCAUCCUGAUGGAAUUCAUUAAGAUCAUAUCAUGGUGGGAAUGUUAAGAGCGGGGACCUUAUAUUUAGAAACAGCAAGGUGAUCCAUUUGUUGGUUUGUGCCUUCUUCCUGUUAAGUUGUUUUCAGACAUUAUUACUAGGUGCUAUUUUGUUUGUCAGUGAUAGGCCUCGUGGAGUUGCAGUUGGUAUGUUGGAUUCAUGUUUGCUGCCUUCGCUCUGUAUGGAAAUAUUAUAGGAUAUAAUGUCUUUCUCCUGGGACCAUCGUCAUAAACCAAUCAACUCUUUGAGAAUGGAUGGAGAAGACAACAUCAAGAAGGCCAUGGCUGAGGCAAAACUGUGAACAAGAAGCGGGCAAGAUGUGUUGAUGCAAGAUAUCUUUUGCUAUAUCGUGCAUCAUGAUCGUAUGACCCACUCUAUGCAUAUGAACCACUAUAUUGGAUAUUCUUACAUUUUAUUGAAUCAUAUCCUUCCUUGAGAAUUGUGUCUUAGGGUUUUGCUCUCAUGCUCCUGCUGUUGUACUAAACUUAAUGUCAGCUAAUGUCCUUUGCCACCCCGCACUGUUGUACUAAACUUAAUGGCAGCUAAUGUCCUUCGGGCACCCCGCAUCAAGGUGUGUUGCCUAUUUUUUGUGGUCUUCUGAACACCCUGAACUUGAUAUUACCUUAUAAUCUCUUGCCGAUAUUGAGCA